Molecule: ribosomal RNA, 571 nt
Filed under: Schizophyllum commune
Lineage: Eukaryota; Fungi; Basidiomycota; Agaricomycetes; Agaricales; Schizophyllaceae
Description: eukaryotic LSU rRNA
Rfam family: Eukaryotic large subunit ribosomal RNA
Source: RNAcentral
CGGGAAAGCUCAAAUUUAAAAUCUGGCGGUCUCCGGCCGUCCGAGUUGUAAUUUAGAGAAGCGUUAUCCGUGCUGGACCGUGUAUAAGUCUCCUGGAAUGGAGCGUCAUAGAGGGUGAGAAUCCCGUCUUUGACACGGACUACCAGUGCAUUGUGAUGCGCUCUCGACGAGUCGAGUUGUUUGGGAAUGCAGCUCAAAAUGGGUGGUAAAUGCCAUCUAAAGCUAAAUAUUGGCGAGAGACCGAUAGCGAACAAGUACCGUGAGGGAAAGAUGAAAAGAACUUUGGAAAGAGAGUUAAACAGUACGUGAAAUUGUCGAAAGGGAAACGGUUGCAGUCAGUCGCGUCCGCCGGGGAUCAACCUUGCUUUUGCUUGGCGUAUUUCCCGGUGGAUGGGUCAGCAUCAGUUUUGACCGCAGUUGAAAGGCUGGAGGAAUGUGGCACCUUCGGGUGUGUUAUAGCCUCCUGUCAUAUGCUGCGGUUGGGACUGAGGAACUCAGCACGCCGCAAGGCCGGGAUUCGUCCACGUUCGUGCUCAGGAUGCUGGCAUAAUGUCUGUAACCGACCCGUCUU